UACAGAGGUCCCAAGCGUUGUUCGGAUUUACUGGGCGUAAAGGGUGCGUAGGCGGUUGGGUAAGUCUGACGUGAAAUCUCCGGGCCUAACCCGGAAACUGCGUUGGAUACUAUUUGACUAGAGGAAUGGAGGGGAGACUGGAAUACUUGGUGUAGCAGUGAAAUGCGUAGAUAUCAAGUGGAACACCAGUGGCGAAGGCGAGUCUCUGGACAUUUCCUGACGCUGAGGCACGAAAGCGUGGGGAUCAAACAGG
This 253-nucleotide ribosomal RNA is filed under the name uncultured bacterium. RNAcentral describes it as "partial 16S ribosomal RNA". It matches the Rfam family "Bacterial small subunit ribosomal RNA", at positions 524 to 776 of the family's 1533-position model. The record is from RNAcentral.